CCUGCCCCAAGGGCAUGUGUGGCUGCCGUGUUAUGUGUUCAUCAGUAGGUGGCAGAGAGUAGAAAGUCUAAGUCUAGACCCAGUGACCUGACCUGUGAGCAUCUGAAUGCUUAGUAUCUAACAUU
RNAcentral lists this small nucleolar RNA (125 nucleotides) under Mus pahari (shrew mouse). Its description in RNAcentral is "predicted gene, 25727 (MGP_PahariEiJ_G0034602.1)". It matches the Rfam family "Small nucleolar RNA SNORA17". Rfam says of the family: snoRNA ACA 17 belongs to the H/ACA family of snoRNAs and is predicted to guide pseudouridylation of the 28S rRNA at positions U4659 and U4598. It shares the same host gene together with ACA43. The record is from RNAcentral. Lineage: Eukaryota; Metazoa; Chordata; Mammalia; Rodentia; Muridae.